Bubalus bubalis (water buffalo) is the source of this 681-nucleotide non-coding RNA. The record is from the annotation of a RefSeq genome assembly. Lineage: Eukaryota; Metazoa; Chordata; Mammalia; Artiodactyla; Bovidae.
AAGAAUUAUCUCUGGAAUACAACACACUUACAUUAUAAACUGUUUAGAGAAAGGACACAACAACUCAUAAGGCUCAAGUCCAUUGAUCUGGAUGGGUCUCCGUGUUAUGAACUCUUCACUCAGGUUCAUUUCUGAUUUGAGCCUCUGGGGGAAGGGGCGUGGCCCCUGAGUGACAGGAUUUCCCUGGGGCCUGGCAGGGAGAGUGACAUCUCAGAAGGACUCCCUGGAGAGCCCCUGUCCCCUCUCAUCCGCACACACUCCAGAGGGCCCUCCGCCUGCCCCGCCCCGGCCAUGAGCCCCUGCCUCCUGGGCUGUGUGGUCUUCUGUCUCCUGCAGGCAGGGGCGGUCCAUGCUGGGGUCCCUCAGGACCCCAGAUUCCAGGUCGUGAGGAGAGGACAGAGCGCGACACUGACAUGUACUCAGGAUCUGGGUCAUGACCGCAUGUACUGGUACCGACAAGACCUGGGACACGGGCUGAGGCUGAUCCAUUACUCAAAUGGCCCUCCCACCACAGAGAAGGGAGAUGUGCCUGAGGGUUACAGCAUCUCCAGACCAAGCACAAAUGACUUCCCUCUAAUGCUGGAGUCUGCCAAACGCUCCAAGACAUCUGUGUACUUCUGCGCCAGCAGUUACUCCACAGUGCUGCACGGCCACCUCCUUUCUGUGCAAAAAAGCAUAUGA